Molecule: ribosomal RNA, 1528 nt
Filed under: Klebsiella quasipneumoniae
Lineage: Bacteria; Pseudomonadati; Pseudomonadota; Gammaproteobacteria; Enterobacterales; Enterobacteriaceae
Description: 16S ribosomal RNA
Rfam family: Bacterial small subunit ribosomal RNA
Source: RNAcentral
AGAGUUUGAUCAUGGCUCAGAUUGAACGCUGGCGGCAGGCCUAACACAUGCAAGUCGAGCGGUAGCACAGAGAGCUUGCUCUCGGGUGACAAGCGGCGGACGGGUGAGUAAUGUCUGGGAAACUGCCUGAUGGAGGGGGAUAACUACUGGAAACGGUAGCUAAUACCGCAUAACGUCGCAAGACCAAAGUGGGGGACCUUCGGGCCUCAUGCCAUCAGAUGUGCCCAGAUGGGAUUAGCUAGUAGGUGGGGUAACGGCUCACCUAGGCGACGAUCCCUAGCUGGUCUGAGAGGAUGACCAGCCACACUGGAACUGAGACACGGUCCAGACUCCUACGGGAGGCAGCAGUGGGGAAUAUUGCACAAUGGGCGCAAGCCUGAUGCAGCCAUGCCGCGUGUAUGAAGAAGGCCUUCGGGUUGUAAAGUACUUUCAGCGGGGAGGAAGGCGAUAAGGUUAAUAACCUUGUCGAUUGACGUUACCCGCAGAAGAAGCACCGGCUAACUCCGUGCCAGCAGCCGCGGUAAUACGGAGGGUGCAAGCGUUAAUCGGAAUUACUGGGCGUAAAGCGCACGCAGGCGGUCUGUCAAGUCGGAUGUGAAAUCCCCGGGCUCAACCUGGGAACUGCAUUCGAAACUGGCAGGCUAGAGUCUUGUAGAGGGGGGUAGAAUUCCAGGUGUAGCGGUGAAAUGCGUAGAGAUCUGGAGGAAUACCGGUGGCGAAGGCGGCCCCCUGGACAAAGACUGACGCUCAGGUGCGAAAGCGUGGGGAGCAAACAGGAUUAGAUACCCUGGUAGUCCACGCCGUAAACGAUGUCGAUUUGGAGGUUGUGCCCUUGAGGCGUGGCUUCCGGAGCUAACGCGUUAAAUCGACCGCCUGGGGAGUACGGCCGCAAGGUUAAAACUCAAAUGAAUUGACGGGGGCCCGCACAAGCGGUGGAGCAUGUGGUUUAAUUCGAUGCAACGCGAAGAACCUUACCUGGUCUUGACAUCCACAGAACUUAGCAGAGAUGCUUUGGUGCCUUCGGGAACUGUGAGACAGGUGCUGCAUGGCUGUCGUCAGCUCGUGUUGUGAAAUGUUGGGUUAAGUCCCGCAACGAGCGCAACCCUUAUCCUUUGUUGCCAGCGGUUCGGCCGGGAACUCAAAGGAGACUGCCAGUGAUAAACUGGAGGAAGGUGGGGAUGACGUCAAGUCAUCAUGGCCCUUACGACCAGGGCUACACACGUGCUACAAUGGCAUAUACAAAGAGAAGCGACCUCGCGAGAGCAAGCGGACCUCAUAAAGUAUGUCGUAGUCCGGAUUGGAGUCUGCAACUCGACUCCAUGAAGUCGGAAUCGCUAGUAAUCGUAGAUCAGAAUGCUACGGUGAAUACGUUCCCGGGCCUUGUACACACCGCCCGUCACACCAUGGGAGUGGGUUGCAAAAGAAGUAGGUAGCUUAACCUUCGGGAGGGCGCUUACCACUUUGUGAUUCAUGACUGGGGUGAAGUCGUAACAAGGUAACCGUAGGGGAACCUGCGGUUGGAUCACCU